RNAcentral lists this unclassified non-coding RNA (2845 nucleotides) under Hevea brasiliensis (rubber tree). Lineage: Eukaryota; Viridiplantae; Streptophyta; Magnoliopsida; Malpighiales; Euphorbiaceae. The record is from RNAcentral.
AAAUGUUAAAGCAAAAACCAUAAAACAUAUAAUAUAAUUUCAAAUUCUAGAUGCAUUGUUCAAUUACAUUCAUCAUGUCAUGCAAACUCAAAAUCCUAUUUAUCUAGUCAUCUUGUAGAUGCUAAAAGGUGAAAACAAAUCAAGUUAGCUUUUCUCAUUCUCAAUUUUUUUUUUUAAAUUUCUUGCCUUUUUCUCACCUAGGGGUGCCUGAUGAUGCCUCGCUUGGGCGCCUAGGCAGUGCUUAGUUGAAGAUGCUUUGCUUGGAGCCUUCCCAGGUGAGGUGCCUAGAUUUUGCCUCGUCCAGGAGGCUAGGCAAGCGCCCGGGUGCCUCGUGACAACACUGAGAUGAAAGAAUAAAAAUUAUAAUUAGAAAGUCAUCAAAGUUGAUACUGAAAAAAAGUGAAGACAAAGAAGAUGGUUUCUGACAGUAUUGAGUUGUUUAAUAACAUCAAGUAGGACAGUUAGUAAAUGUUCAGGUGAAGUCAAAAACUAAUACAGGAAAAAUCAGAAAGAUUUCUUUAAAAUAAGUGAUAAAAAAGGAAGAUGAAGUAAGGUUUGACCGUAUAUGGCUGUUUUAUAGUCGUAUUUCUGCACCCCAUUGAUGUCAUGAACGGUAUUUAGGGAAUACUUUUGGCAAAUUUGAAGUUAAUUGAUCAAUGAGUUCAUAAACAUUUGAAGAAACAAAAAUAAGUUAUGGAACUCUAAUGAAAUUUCUUGUGAAAUACAUCACUUUAGAAUUCUUUGUGCCCAUAGUUAUUAAAGGUGCAAUGCACAUUAAGCCUCAAGAGGUCUUGGAGCCUAGGUGCAAGGCACAGGUAGGUGAGAAAAGAAUACAACAGUUCAUAUUAACAGCAUGAAAUAAUUAGAAUUCUUCUGAUUAUUUAGCUAAAAAUUAUUUUUAAUAGACAAUAUAAGCAUAAUAGACAAUCAUCAAUUCAUGCAAAUUAGUUUAAUGGUUAAUGGAUUAUUCUAAAAAGAAAGGUGAGAAAAAAGAGAGGCAGCAAAUGCAGGCUGAAGAAAAGGGAGUGAGAAAAGGAGAAAAACAAAAGAAAAAAGGGACAAUCAGAGGCAACUAGAUGGAUUGAAGAAAAGGGAGUGAAGAAUAGGAUAGGCUUAACAAAUUUAAAAAAAAAAAAACCUCUUGUGCCUUUUUUUCUCUUUUAUUUUUUUUUAUUUGUUUAUUUUUUGACUUGGUACACAUGAUUUCAUGGUAAGUUCACUUAUAAAGUAACAAGUUUUUGAAAUUGAAUAUACUACUUUCCUAAUUUUGAGCUGAUACAUACAUCUUUCACAUACAAACAUUGGAAACCUAUAUCAAGAAAUAAGUGAAUGGUAAUCUUAAUUCUAAGAGAGACAAUUACCUUAGUUGACUUGGUUUCUAUUAUUGUAAUUUCUCUUAUAGGUGGCAUUCCUAUGUUUGGUUUGCAUGGGAAUAUUGUUUUCCCAGGAAAGUUACUUCAUGAACUGGUGGUUCCCACCACAACUUUCCCAUCCUAAAGGUUGGGAAAGUUACAUCCCCAUGGGAAUGUUAUGUUAGAAAAAUUAUAUAAAAAAUAUUGUCCUUAAUUACAAUUAUGUUUGGACCAACAUAAAGCAUUAUAAGUAUUAUUUGUUAUAUAAUAACAAGACUAUAUAUUUUUUCAUCUUUUGGAAAAAAAGCAAUGUACACUUUUUUUUUUCUAAUGAUAUUAAAAUCUUGCGUUGAAUUUGAUUCAACUUAAAAAUUUCAUACAUUUUGUAUUCCAUCAAUCACGUAAUUAAAUAUUAAUUUAAAAACUUAUAGAUUAACAACUUAGGUAAAUAAAAUGAAUUCAUGUUAGAGGUACUAUAGUAAUUCAUUACACUUUUUUGUUUAAUUUUAUUUAUUGACCUGCAAAAUAUUUCAAAGAAACUUAUAUUCUAAUAAAAAAUGAUAGUGUCAUUUUCCUUGAAUCUAUUACCUGGAAAUCCACCUGGGAAGUGAUUUUAGAUGGGAAUGUAGAAUUCUGGUAGCUAAAAGCCCUUGUAACAUAAUUUGUGAUCAUUUGACGAAUCCCUAUGAUUUCACUCUCAAUAGAAAUUCAAUUCAACAGUGCAGAUUUUACAAGGAAUUAAGUAAAUGGUAAUCCCAACUCUAGGAGAGACGAUUGCCUUGGUUGACAUAGUUUCUAACAAUGCACUGUCUCCUAUUAGAUAGUUUAUUGUUAUUUGACAAAUCCCUAUGAUUUCACUCCAAUGGAAAGUUAAUUAAAUAGUGAAGAUUUUCAAAUCAAAUAACAAUUGAAAGAAAAAAGAAAAACACAUUUGCAGCCUUAAAUCUCAUAGAGGCUUGCCUAGGCAUGCGCCUCAGGAGGGUCACCAACUUUUGGUGUUUGAGGCGAUAUGGUUGUGGCCUGUGCACCUUGCACCUGAGCCUUGAUGCACACCUCAUUUAGUAACUAUGUCCCGCCCCUAAAGUCUUGUUAACAUCAGAACUCAAACCACACGUAAUCCUGAAGAGACAAAAGCUUUUAGCAUUCUCCUGAACAUUGAUAUCCAUUUCAUUGUACCAAAAUGAUUGGUUACAACAGUAUGUUUAUAAAGAGAUUCUUUAAAUACCUUAUACUUACUGGAAUUGGAAUCCUUGGUAGGAAAUUGAUGCAAACAGUCAAUUUUUUUUUUUUAAAUUAUUUGAUAUAAGAAAUGCAAAAUUUGUUGUUAUUUAGAAAAUUUGUGGGAAUUUUCUUUUUAGGAUUUGUUUGCUUCCUGUUAAUGUGUAGUAAGAAUUCUCCUAUUUGGUUAACUAAUUCUAAUGGGAUAACUACACUUACAAUUUAAAUUGUUGUAGGCUUGAUGAUAGAAUUAGUUUGAAAGCAUAUCUGCCUGU